CUUUUCAAAACCCCCGUCCCAUUCUCCUCGACAUCCUCUCCGCCCGCACCUCCGGUCAUCUUUUCCUCAACUCCAUCCCACUCUAUCUCCCACUCCGUCCUUCCCUCGUUCGCUGCAUCUCCUCCCACGUCCCCCGACACGACUUCUUCUUUUCCGACGUCGAACGCCGUCGCAUCUCCAUCGGAACCGUACUCCGUUGUCUCUCUUUCUCCUCCUCCUCCUUCCCUUCAUUUUGGUCCCGAUCUUCGGGAACUAGGGUUAAGGGGUUUUGAGCGGACCUUGAGUUAGUAGGCUGGGGUCUGGAUUGAAGCGUGUUUAAUUGCAGGAAAUAAGAAUGACAUUGUUAAGGUUCUAACAAUUGUCAUUUCUCUGGUGAUUGCUUUCCUGUUGAUUUGCGCUAUUUGUGUAUUUUUCUGGAGGAGCAGAAAUUUGGGCAAAAAUAUUCCUGGUGAAGCUGAAUCUGGGUUGGAAAGGCUUCACCAAUGCCCAGAAAAGGAAAUCCAACGCUACUUUGAAGCAGAUUCUCCUUCAAAAGACUUCAAUAAUUUUCACACAAAGCUUGCCGGUUUGACUAGAGUGUUCCUAUUCAAGCUAGGCAGACACCUCAUUUACUUCUGUAUUUUGGGACAUUGUUAACUAAGGGAAAACUAAAUGCAUCUGAGUCUCUAGAAUUGUCUCGCCAUGUGGUUAAUCAGAACAAGAAAAAUCUUUUGGAGAAUUGGUUGGUAGAGGACAAGCUUGAGUACAGCGAAGAACUUGGAGAUAUUGUGAAGACUGUAGACAAUGAUCUUGCAUUGAAGAUCUAUGUAAAAGCAAAGGCAACUCCAAAAGUUGUUGCCGCUUUUGCUGAGCGGAGAGAGUUUGACAAGAUUCUUAUGUACUCAAAGCAGGUUGGGUAUACACCAGAUUAUCUUUUUCUUUUGCAGACAAUUCUAUGAACGGAUCCACAGAUUGGUAAAAGUGAUCUUCUGGCAUAUCCCAUCCAAAAGAAGAGAGAAAGUAUCCUGAGAACCAUAGCUCAUCUUCGCCCUUGGACUAGUACAUUUGGUAAGGAUCUCUUCUUUCACCUUUACGUGACAUCAGUUUGGAGAAACUGAUCGGUUAUUUAUGGGAUAUCUAUCAUCAUCACCAUCACCAUCUUCCCUUGAUGAAGCAGAGAUACAACAACAACUGAAGGAUUCACUGGAAGCAAACAUUAGCAAAAUGAGAGGGUUGUGCAUUUGCACGACAAACCAAAGAUGUUGGUUAUGACAUACAAGACUUGGAAUCAGAGAUAAGUACAUGGAGCUGGAGAGAAGGUGCAGGAGAUCAACAUGGCUGAAUUGUUCCGCACCUCCUCACACACAACAUGAUCUGCAACUCUGCUUGGAUCUUCACUAGGAAAAGUUCCGUUGAUUGGUGAUUCAUUCGAGCAUACACAGCCAUAUGAAACAUAGACUUGGAGCCAAAUGGAGCAGUAGCAGGGAUAUGAACAUACAGAUAAUCACUCAUCUCCUUUUCUUCUGCGAUAUUAUAAAAGUUGUGUAUGACUGAAGGAGUCAUAACUGUCUACCCUUGAGUCGCCUGCAGAAUCUCUGAGUGAAUAAGACGCCGGAACUCUGAUCGCAAUUUGUAAAGCAAAUGCUUCAAACUCCUCAUUCAUCUCAAUGUCUUUGGCAAAUGCAGGCUUUCUUGAUAGGAUCCAGCCCCAGUCCUACCACUUUCUCAGAGGUCCUCCGGCAAAUUCCCCAAAUGAUGGCAUCGACUGGGACCGCCUGAAUGCCCAUGCAGUGUAUGCAGAUGUUAGUGGUUGCACAUUUAUGGAGAAGGAUGAAAGUCUUCUCCUCAAUCCUAUCAUGUGUGUCUCCGUGUGCUUGUCUUGAGAGAUUGGAAGCUCAUCCUUUUCAGGCAUUGUGGGGAAGAACUUCUUUUGCAGGUUCUCAAACAUGGAACUCAUUCUGAAUGUGUGUUUUGAAUCUUUUGAUUGAUUCACUUGUUGGUUUUGUUUCUCAAAUGUAUGAUGUGUUUGUAUGUCUUAUCUUAUUGUUUUUCACAGCUCUUGGACAGGCUGGUUUUAUUAGUCCAUGUGGUGGAUGGGGUCCCAUGAACCAUUUUCCUUCUUUCAUCUUUCUUUAAUGUCACCGCAUCUCCUUUUAUUUA
Dioscorea cayenensis subsp. rotundata (Guinea yam) is the source of this 2139-nucleotide long non-coding RNA. RefSeq lists it as uncharacterized. The record is from RefSeq and is a predicted model, not a curated record. Lineage: Eukaryota; Viridiplantae; Streptophyta; Magnoliopsida; Dioscoreales; Dioscoreaceae. The transcript is spliced from 9 exons.